AUGCGGUCACUGCUCAAGGCUGCUGCUGACGUUGCGGUCGCUGCUUAUGAGCAGCAGGCCUCAGACUACCAGGUGGCUCUUGAGAUGUAUCAUGAUGAACUAUCUGCCUACACUCAGCGGUUUGAUGAUGAUGCUCGUGCUGCAGCUGUUCUCAGUUCCAAUGUUCUACCUCAGUUUGUCUCUAAGUUUAUGGGCCUCACUGCCGUCUUCGAGAUGUGGAGCCAUCUUCGACAACGCUAUCAGCCCUCUGGUGAUGCCCUAUACCUGGUUAUGGUCCGCCAGGACACUUCAGUAGGGUGA
RNAcentral lists this ribosomal RNA (300 nucleotides) under Triticum aestivum (bread wheat). RNAcentral describes it as "partial small subunit ribosomal RNA". The record is from RNAcentral. Lineage: Eukaryota; Viridiplantae; Streptophyta; Magnoliopsida; Poales; Poaceae.